GUAUUUGCUAAGCACUCACUAUGUGCCGAGCACUGUUCUAAGCGCUGGGGUAGACAUAGGGGAAUCAGGUCGUCCCACGCGGGGCUCACAGUCUUCAUCCCCAUUUUACAGAUGAGGGAACUGAGGCCCAGAGAAGUGAAGUGACUCGCCCACAGUCACACAGCUGACAAGCGGCAGAGCCGGGAGUCGAACUCGUGUCCUCUGACUCCCAAGCCCGGGCUCUUUCCACUAGACCACGCUGCUUCUCUUGCGUUUAUUCCGCUACACUCAAUAGCUCGUCUCGACUGCUUGUGAUAUGAAUACUUCUGUGACCGUCUCCCUCAUUAGAGGGUGAGCUCCUUGAGGGGACGAACUGUGUCACGUCUUGAUUUUGUCUCCUCCCAGUACCCGUUCACACUCACCGAAACAUUACGAUUCUACGGUGAUGAGGGCACGUCCGGGAUCAGAAUCCACGUCCUCGAACCCCCGGACCCACGCUCUCCCCACUAGGCCCCGCCGCUUCUUCAUUACAAGACGAAGAGAGGCCUCCAGGGGCUCAUUCCCAAAUUCCCCAGCGUGGCUCAGUGGAAAGAGCACGGGCUUGAGGGGUCAUGAGUUCGAAUCCCGGCUCUGCCCCUUGUCAGCUGUGUGACCGUGGGCGAGCCACUUCAGUUCUCUGGGCCUCAGUGACCUCAUCUGUAAAACGGGGAUUAACCGUGAGCCUCACGUGGGACAACCUGAUGACCCUGUAUCUACCCCAGCGCUUAGAACAGUGCUCUGCACGUAGGAAGCGCUUAACAAAUACCAACAUUAUUAUUCCCCGAGCUGAGCCGUUCCUGGCGGGGAGCCGCUUCGUGCUCCGAACAACGGGCGCGGUCGGCAGAACCGCUUCCGCUUUCCCUUCCCGGGAUCACCGGGACGGGACCGGCUCCGGAGGCCUUGAGUUUCCACUUGGAUCAUUCAGCGAGACAGAACCCGAGAGCCCUAUUCCACAGACCGACUAAUCUGUAUCUUCCCCAGCGCUCGGAACAGUGCUGGACACACGGUAAGCCCUCAACAGAUGCCAUAAUAAUAAUAUUGACAAUGAAUCCAAGAUGGUGGAUGAUUCCAAGAUGGCAGAGAAAGCUCGGAGAGGCCAGAGAUUGGAGCGCGAGGCCGAAGGGAACCGUCUGUUCCUCAGGGAUCAGCUAAGCCACGGUCGGGCUGGCCGCGCCAACAGUCCGACCUCGACGCGGCAUCUCUGUGCCGUAACAGUGUCGUGACAGGUCGGAAUGACUAGAUACCUAACCGGGGAUGAGGGUGCUUCCUUGUCCCGCACCUCAUCGAUGGGUCAGUCAUUGAAUUGCAUUUAUUGAGUGCUUACUGGGUGCAGGGCUUGGGAGAGUACGGUACAACGGAAUUGGCAGACACAUUCCCUGCUCACAAAAGCUUACAUUCUAGAGGGGGAGAUGGACAUUAAUAUAAACCGUGCAAAUGUACAUGACUCCUGUGCGGCCGAGAAGGGGGAGGAGUAAAGGGAGAAAAUCAUCGUGCGAGGGCGAUACAGAAGGGAGAGGGAGAAGAGGAAAUCAGAGCUGAGUCGGAGAAGGCCCCUUGGAGGAGUCGUGCCUUCAGUAAGGCUUCAGAGGUGAGGAGAUGAAGAGGGAGUAUGUGGUCCAGAGGCGGGACGCGGGCGGGAGGUCUGUGACAAGAUGGACAUUAGGUCCACAUCACUGCCCGAGUUGGGUAGGGGUUUGGAGUUUGGGGCCGCGUCCAGGUAGGACCCCCGGGGAACAAGAUGGUGGGUGGCGGGAGCUUGCGCUCAGGAAGACGCUUGACCAAACUGGCAUUUUGGGAGCCUGUCCGGGCUGCUCUCUGGAGUGAAUCUGGGCCCGGCAGGGAGGUCUGCUUCGUUAAGACGGCGGGAGGAGAGUGCUCCUGCGGGAAAUCACGGGGCCGGUCAGUCCGGUUCUCGCGCCGGAUGGACAGAAGAGCAGUUCUCGUUCCCGGCGCGGUAGGACUCCGGCAACCAAUCCCGGCCGCGGGGGUCCUCCCCCAGACCGAGGUCCCUGGGACGGCACGCGUCCGGGAGGUCUGUUGUGUCAGCACCUGAGCCCUUUCCACACCCCACAGCGAGCGGGGAGAAGGGACGAGAGGAGAGCAGUCCACCGCUUUCUUCCCCGCCGUCCCU
RNAcentral lists this long non-coding RNA (2149 nucleotides) under Ornithorhynchus anatinus (platypus). RNAcentral's name for it is "lncRNA (ENSOANG00000044197.1)". The record is from RNAcentral. Lineage: Eukaryota; Metazoa; Chordata; Mammalia; Monotremata; Ornithorhynchidae.